Long non-coding RNA from Herpailurus yagouaroundi (jaguarundi), 982 nucleotides. RefSeq lists it as uncharacterized. The record is from RefSeq and is a predicted model, not a curated record. The transcript is spliced from 2 exons. NCBI's taxonomy places the organism in Eukaryota, Metazoa, Chordata, Mammalia, Carnivora, Felidae.
AAGCCUUGAAAUACCACCAGCCUGAGGUGUUUGCAUUUUUUUUCUUUUAAAAAAAUGUAAUGGUGGAGGGAAAUUGUGUAAGAUUUUUAAGCAGAUUAAUAACUUCCCAUGAAAGUUAUAUUUUAACUUUUUUUGAAAAAAAGAUAAUCUGAGAUAAGAAAACCAGGAAUUUAUACCUCCCUAAGCAACAGAUUAGGGCGAGGCAGUGGUGCUGAAAAUCUUGUUUACAUAAAUAAGUAGAUGCAAAUGGAAGUAUUUUUAUGUGACACUGUCACUCAUUUUUUAAACUCCUUCAGAGUUUAUGUACCAAAAAUCAAAUAAUGUUGUCUUUAAAAAUUAUGUUUGUGAUCAUGUGUCAGCUGAUAACUCCAGUAUAGUAUUUUUUAAAUUUUGUUAAAAGCAAAGGAAGGGGAACAACUUGGAAGCAGGUUGGGUUAAUCAGUGGAGUAAUUCCUUUUUAAUACCACACCAGAUUCUUGAAUUGUCCUUUUGGUACCCAGAGCUGUUUUGUACUUUAAGGUGGUCCACAACUGUACUUCUGUGAAGUAGGAGAAAGAUAAAUAGGAAAUGAGAAUUUUUAUGACUGAUGUCUGGUUGAAGGUAUCAUUUCUAGCAGAUCAGAUUUAGGAAGCAGUUUUUUUAAAAUUCUAGUAUAGUUGACAUACAGUAUUAUAUUAGCUUUAGGUGUAAGGAAGCAGUAUGCUUUGAGAAUCUAGAAAGUAUCUCUAUAAAAUUAUCUGUCACUCAUACUGUUUAGAAAAUCUUCAGGCACCCCAGUGAUAUGUGUAUUUUUAAAGACUGCUGCCCUAAGUAGGGCAGUGACUGUCAUGAUGGAGAAAAGUAUUUGGAUUUGAGAGACAUAGGAGGUAGAAUUAACAGGACUUGGGGGAUAUUCUCCUGCUAAUUACUUGCAGUGGGUUUGCAUUUCCAGAAGCAUCAAGAAUGUUAUCAACUCAAAAAAACCACAAAAAACUAACAAAAC